GCAUUGUCAUUCAGAGGUAGAAUUCCUGCCUUCCAUGCAGGAGACCCAGGUUUGCUUCCUAACACAUGUA
Molecule: transfer RNA, 70 nt
Filed under: Loxodonta africana (African savanna elephant)
Lineage: Eukaryota; Metazoa; Chordata; Mammalia; Proboscidea; Elephantidae
Rfam family: tRNA
About the family: Transfer RNA (tRNA) molecules are approximately 80 nucleotides in length. Their secondary structure includes four short double-helical elements and three loops (D, anti-codon, and T loops).
Source: Rfam by way of RNAcentral